CUUCUCUACAAAAUAUUUAAAACAUUAGCCAGAAAGAACAUUACAUGGCAUUUCCUACUGAAGAUGGGACUUAGCACAAAAACCAUCAUGGAUUCCAUCAAAGAGAUCAUUAAUGUCUCAAAACGUCUCCAAGGAUACAUGAUCUACAAAGGACCACAGAGUGCCCUGCAGAAUUGGGUUGAAAAACUAAAGAAGGCAAACAGAGUUUAUGGUAAGGCGGCAGUCUCUGGUCCCCGUUGUGAGAUUGGGUUCUUCCUGCCUGUUCCUGGAGUGGCAUGGAGAAAAGAGCAUGGAUUUGCAGAAGAGACACUUGAGAGAGAGGAAAGAAGUCUCGAUCCAGACCCCAAGAGAGGCUUGUUGAAUGUCACACAAGAAAGAAUUCGGGGCGAGUCCACAGUGCAAAGCAAAAGCAAGUUUAUUAACAGAGUAAAGUGGUGAAAGUACAGCUACUCCAUAGACAGAGCAGGGCGUUCCCGAAAGCUAGAGGAGGAACGCAUCCACCGAUACAACAAAGCUUUAAAGCACGAAAAAGAUGAACUCGAAACACCAGUGACUGGAGGAACCAUGACAACACAAACAAGAAGGAAACAAGAAAGAAAAAGCAUAAUCCUGGUUUUUGUGUUCUGAAUUGUGGAUUUGAAAUGGAGGCUCCCGUGGCUGCUGACAGCCUGCCUUGAUGCUGCUGAUGUCUGGGUGAUGAACAGUCAUGGGUUUCCUCCCACCUGCCUCUGUGGAUUAAUGAAGAGCAAGGCAGGAAUGGCAGACCUGCCAUCUGGAAUGACCUUACCUGAUAAGAUUGUUCUGCCUUCCCCGCCAAAGGAGCCCACUCCAUUAUGAAAAAGAACUUCAAGCAAAUUUGAAUCUUUCUUCACUGAGUUCUAACAUACUCCAGACCUGUAUUGUGGAAGCUCUUCCUAAAGUCCAUUUGUGUGGAAUGACUGCGCUGCUAUAUCCCAUCGUGGGCAAAGGAUACCUGCUAUGAAGGGCGAACUGGCAUCAAGCCUAAGUCUUCAUUAAGAGCAAGAACCACAACAUUUGGAGAUUACCAACAUGGUUUUCAGCCCUCAGCUUUGGCGAGACUUCUUCCUUUUCAUUCUUUUCUGGGCAAAUCUAAACCUUUGGAGAAGUAGAUGAGUGAAGUCAAUUGCAAAGGGACUGGAUCUCUCUCUAUCACCCAGACUGGAGUGCAGUGGCACAAUCGUGGCUCACUGCAGUCUUGAACUCCUGGCCUCAAGAGAUCUUCCUGCCUCAGCCUCCUGAAUGGUUGCGACUACAGGUGAGAGCCUGGCUCAUUUAACCUUUUAAAAGUGCAUGGUUCAGUGGCAUUAAGUACAUUCCCCUUGUGCAAUUGGUACUCCCAUUCACUUCCAGAGCUUUUUUCUUUUCCCCAAAGUGAAACUCCAUAACUAUUCAGCAAUAACUCCUCAUCACUCCUUUCCCACUUCCCCAGCCCUUGGUAACCACGAAUCUACUUUUUGUUUCUAUGAACUUGACUAUCCUGGGUACCACAUGGAAGUGGAAUCAUACAAUAUUUGUCCUUUUGUGUCUGGCUUGUUUAACUUGGCAUGAUGCUUAGUUCACAUGGUGUGAUGUCCUCUAGGUUCAUCCAUGUUGUAGUAUGUAUCAGAAUUUCAUUCCCCUUUUAAGGCUGUAUUAUAUUCCAUUGUGUACAUACACCACAUUUUGUUUAUUAUUUAAGUAAUCUGAAUUUGUUUGUUUGUUUUGUUUUAAACUUUCUAUGCUGAUAUUGUAUUCCUCUGACAAUUAAAAUAAUGGAAUUGCAGAAGACAC
This 1791-nucleotide long non-coding RNA is filed under the name Homo sapiens (human). RNAcentral describes it as "HSALNT0279933". Lineage: Eukaryota; Metazoa; Chordata; Mammalia; Primates; Hominidae. The record is from RNAcentral.